UGGGGAAUAUUGGACAAUGGGCGAAAGCCUGAUCCAGCCAUGCCGCGUGUGUGAAGAAGGUCUUCGGAUUGUAAAGCACUUUAAGUUGGGAGGAAGGGCAUUAACCUAAUACGUUAGUGUUUUGACGUUACCGACAGAAUAAGCACCGGCCAACUCUGUGCCCGCAGCCGCGGUAAUACAGAGGGUGCAAGCGUUAAUCGGAAUUACUGGGCGUAAAGCGCGCGUAGGUGGUUUGUUAAGUUGGAUGUGAAAUCCCCGGGCUCAACCUGGGAACUGCAUUCAAAACUGACUGACUAGAGUAUGGUAGAGGGUGGUGGAAUUUCCUGUGUAGCGGUGAAAUGCGUAGAUAUAGGAAGGAACACCAGUGGCGAAGGCGACCACCUGGACUAAUACUGACACUGAGGUGCGAAAGCGUGGGGAGCAAACA
RNAcentral lists this ribosomal RNA (427 nucleotides) under uncultured bacterium. RNAcentral's name for it is "partial 16S ribosomal RNA". It matches the Rfam family "Bacterial small subunit ribosomal RNA", at positions 355 to 774 of the family's 1533-position model. The record is from RNAcentral.